Molecule: long non-coding RNA, 723 nt
Filed under: Vitis vinifera (wine grape)
Lineage: Eukaryota; Viridiplantae; Streptophyta; Magnoliopsida; Vitales; Vitaceae
Description: long non-coding RNA (VVIN_LNC007632)
Source: RNAcentral
UAUAUAUAUAUAUAUAUAUAUGAAUUUCUCUUAAACAUGUAGACAUGUUUUGAAGUCGUGAGCUCCCAUUGGACCUAGAGUGAUAUCCGACUGGGCAUUAAUAGAUGAACCAUUCAACACAAACAGGACAAGGGUUUCACAAUCAGUAACCAAUCUAGAAUGAAAGAAUAGCUCACCAUUACAAAGAAUGUCUAUAAUGUUUUCCGAUACAACAUACGUUUACAAACCAGAACACUAUUACUUCCGAAGGGAAGAUAGAGAUCCACACAGCACCCAGUGGCAUCUCUGGCCAUCCUCAUGAAAUGCCACUGGAAUGCCCACUUCCCCCUUAAGACAAUUUGAGACCGAAAAUUACAUAUAUCACAAAAGUACUCUUUAUCAUCAAAAUCACACAUAUAGCACAAAUGGCAACAAUAAUUUAAGGCCUUAUUACCUAAUGCAAUACCUGAGAAUCACCGGUCCAUGAAAGCGCAUGAAAUGCAUCCAUUGAUUAGGUGGAAGCUGGCUUUGGCUCCAGAUUUUGGAUUAUUCUCUGUGUAGGAUGUAAGUUUCUCACCAACCAGAAUUGAAAGGGCGCAUUUGAUUAACAGGGAGUGUUGAGGCUCUUCCUAUCAGAUAGAAGAGGUUUCUUGAACACUUAUGUAACUGGAUGAGGGUACUUACAGGUAGUUCCAUUCCUUUCUCUGAGUGAACUUGUUCCAUACUCAUUCCAUUGUUGNNNNN